UCGAUCAGCGAUUCUGGUGCGUGCGCGGUUCGCGAUGCAGCGUGACCUCGGUCGCGCGGCACGCGUCCGCGCAUGAAUAUAUUGCCAGGUGUCGUCGGCAUGCACUUCUCCCCUAGUAGAACGUCGCGACCCGUUGGGUGUCGGUCUACGGUCCGGAUGGUAGCCUGUCGUGCGUCGCGCCUCGUGCAGUGUUUCCCGGAUGUGCGGACCUAGCACCGUCACCGGGCCUGGCUAGAUGUUUGCCGGCGGUGUCCUGGGACAGGCUCGCAAAUUAUGAUACCGGUCGGCGACGCUACUGCUUUGGGUACUUUCAGGACCCGUCUUGAAACACGGACCAAGGAGUCUAACAUGUGCGCGAGUCAUUGGGAGCUCUGAAGCCUAAAGGCGCAAUGAAAGUGAAGGUCGGCCUUGCGCCGACCGAGGGAGGAUGGGCCGCGUCACGAUGCGGUCCCGCACUCCCGGGGCGUCUCGUUCUCAUUGCAAGAAGAGAUGCACCCAGAGCGUACACGUUGGGACCCGAAAGAUGG
RNAcentral lists this ribosomal RNA (527 nucleotides) under Atrophini sp. BF000147. Its description in RNAcentral is "eukaryotic LSU rRNA". It matches the Rfam family "Eukaryotic large subunit ribosomal RNA", at positions 590 to 826 of the family's 3401-position model. The record is from RNAcentral. Lineage: Eukaryota; Metazoa; Arthropoda; Insecta; Hymenoptera; Ichneumonidae.